This 468-nucleotide ribosomal RNA is filed under the name uncultured bacterium. Its description in RNAcentral is "partial 16S ribosomal RNA". It matches the Rfam family "Bacterial small subunit ribosomal RNA", at positions 28 to 507 of the family's 1533-position model. The record is from RNAcentral.
GACGAACGCUGGCGGCGUGCUUAACACAUGCAAGUCGAACGGAAAGGCCCUGCUUUUGUGGGGUGCUCGAGUGGCGAACGGGUGAGUAACACGUGAGUAACCUGCCCUUGACUUUGGGAUAACUUCAGGAAACUGGGGCUAAUACCGGAUAGGAGCUCCUGCUGCAUGGUGGGGGUUGGAAAGUUUCGGCGGUUGGGGAUGGACUCGCGGCUUAUCAGCUUGUUGGUGGGGUAGUGGCUUACCAAGGCUUUGACGGGUAGCCGGCCUGAGAGGGUGACCGGCCACAUUGGGACUGAGAUACGGCCCAGACUCCUACGGGAGGCAGCAGUGGGGAAUAUUGCACAAUGGGCGGAAGCCUGAUGCAGCAACGCCGCGUGCGGGAUGACGGCCCGCGGGUUGUAAACCGCUUUCGCCUGUGACGAAGCGUGAGUGACGGUAAUGGGUAAAGAAGCACCGGCUAACUACGUG